UUCAGGGAACUGGCUGGGGGAAGAUAGGGGUCCAGCAGACACUGUCUCUGGCCAGUCCCCCCAGGCGACAGAAGGUGGCCCCAUCAGUGCCUAUGGGUACACGGUCUCUGUCAGAUGGUCCUGCUGAGAGGAGGGGCUUAUCUCCCCACAAAACUGUCUGGUCCUCUUCACUCCCACCUCGGCCCUCAUCCUUCCACACUCGUUCCUUUUAGGCUUUAUUGGAGUAGCCUGGCAGCUAAGUGAGGGCAGGGCUGAGUUAUUGAGCCACUGGCCUGUGCUGAAAAGACCUCAGCUCCAGGGACAGAACUUCGAACAAAGCGGACCUGCUCCUCCUGAUUUUGUGAAGCUUAGCCUCUGGCUAGGGUAACAAUAAACAGGCCAUUAUGAUCCCUACUGCA
This is a long non-coding RNA of Hyaena hyaena (striped hyena), 398 nucleotides long. RefSeq lists it as uncharacterized. Lineage: Eukaryota; Metazoa; Chordata; Mammalia; Carnivora; Hyaenidae. The transcript is spliced from 2 exons. The record is from RefSeq and is a predicted model, not a curated record.